CCUACGGGUGGCAGCAGUGGGGAAUAUUGGACAAUGGGGGCAACCCUGAUCCAGCCAUGCCGCGUGUGUGAAGAAGGCCCUCGGGUUGUAAAGCACUUUCAGUGAGGAAGAACGCCUGGUGGUUAAUACCCAUCAGGAAAGACAUCACUCACAGAAGAAGCACCGGCUAACUCCGUGCCAGCAGCCGCGGUAAUACGGAGGGUGCGAGCGUUAAUCGGGAUUACUGGGCGUAAAGCGCGCGUAGGUGGCUUGAUAAGCCGGUUGUGAAAGCCCCGGGCUCAACCUGGGAACGGCAUCCGGAACUGUCAAGCUAGAGUGCAGGAGAGGAAGGUAGAAUUCCCGGUGUAGCGGUGAAAUGCGUAGAGAUCGGGAGGAAUACCAGUGGCGAAGGUGGCCUUCUGGACUGACACUGACACUGAGGUGCGAAAGCGUGGGUAGCAAACAGGAUUAGAUACCCCAGUAGUC
Molecule: ribosomal RNA, 465 nt
Filed under: Vreelandella stevensii
Lineage: Bacteria; Pseudomonadati; Pseudomonadota; Gammaproteobacteria; Oceanospirillales; Halomonadaceae
Description: partial 16S ribosomal RNA
Rfam family: Bacterial small subunit ribosomal RNA
Source: RNAcentral